Molecule: ribosomal RNA, 195 nt
Filed under: Triticum aestivum (bread wheat)
Lineage: Eukaryota; Viridiplantae; Streptophyta; Magnoliopsida; Poales; Poaceae
Description: partial small subunit ribosomal RNA
Source: RNAcentral
AUGUCGUGGCCGACGCCAUGGCGCACGAAGCAUCCAAGCCCCGUGCGAAGCUGCACAAGGAGAAACCCGUCCCCGCCGGCGAGGGGUCCAGCCGGCAGCAGGGCGGCCCUGACGUCGUCGACCACGUCCAGGCUCUUCAUCCGGUGCAGGUGGCACCUACGCCGGAACAGGUGGCUCCUCCGCCGGAGCAGGUGA